This 2075-nucleotide ribosomal RNA is filed under the name Salmonella enterica. RNAcentral describes it as "partial 23S ribosomal RNA". It matches the Rfam family "Bacterial large subunit ribosomal RNA", at positions 962 to 2925 of the family's 2925-position model. Lineage: Bacteria; Pseudomonadati; Pseudomonadota; Gammaproteobacteria; Enterobacterales; Enterobacteriaceae. The record is from RNAcentral.
CCGGAGAAUGUUAUCACGGGAGACACACGGCGGGUGCUAACGUCCGUCGUGAAGAGGGAAACAACCCAGACCGCCAGCUAAGGUCCCAAAGUCAUGGUUAAGUGGGAAACGAUGUGGGAAGGCCCAGACAGCCAGGAUGUUGGCUUAGAAGCAGCCAUCAUUUAAAGAAAGCGUAAUAGCUCACUGGUCGAGUCGGCCUGCGCGGAAGAUGUAACGGGGCUAAACCAUGCACCGAAGCUGCGGCAGCGAACGUAUCACCCAAGACAACUUUACGGAGUUGACGAUUGACGGAGCGAAGCGACGUCAAAGCGUUCAUUAAAGUCGAGUUGGCUUAGGGAUACGUUCGUUGGGUAGGGGAGCGUUCUGUAAGCCUGUGAAGGUGUGUCGUGAGGCAUGCUGGAGGUAUCAGAAGUGCGAAUGCUGACAUAAGUAACGAUAAAGCGGGUGAAAAGCCCGCUCGCCGGAAGACCAAGGGUUCCUGUCCAACGUUAAUCGGGGCAGGGUGAGUCGACCCCUAAGGCGAGGCCGAAAGGCGUAGUCGAUGGGAAACGGGUUAAUAUUCCCGUACUUGGUGUUACUGCGAAGGGGGGACGGAGAAGGCUAUGUUGGCCGGGCGACGGUUGUCCCGGUUUAAGCGUGUAGGUGUGUGUUCCAGGUAAAUCCGGUUCACUUUAACACUGAGGCGUGACGACGAGGCACUACGGUGCUGAAGCAACAAAUGCCCUGCUUCCAGGAAAAGCCUCUAAGCAUCAGGUAACACGAAAUCGUACCCCAAACCGACACAGGUGGUCAGGUAGAGAAUACCAAGGCGCUUGAGAGAACUCGGGUGAAGGAACUAGGCAAAAUGGUGCCGUAACUUCGGGAGAAGGCACGCUGACACGUAGGUGAAGUGAUUUACUCAUGGAGCUGAAGUCAGUCGAAGAUACCAGCUGGCUGCAACUGUUUAUUAAAAACACAGCACUGUGCAAACACGAAAGUGGACGUAUACGGUGUGACGCCUGCCCGGUGCCGGAAGGUUAAUUGAUGGGGUCAGCGCAAGCGAAGCUCCUGAUCGAAGCCCCGGUAAACGGCGGCCGUAACUAUAACGGUCCUAAGGUAGCGAAAUUCCUUGUCGGGUAAGUUCCGACCUGCACGAAUGGCGUAAUGAUGGCCAGGCUGUCUCCACCCGAGACUCAGUGAAAUUGAACUCGCUGUGAAGAUGCAGUGUACCCGCGGCAAGACGGAAAGACCCCGUGAACCUUUACUAUAGCUUGACACUGAACAUUGAGCCUUGAUGUGUAGGAUAGGUGGGAGGCUUUGAAGUGUGGACGCCAGUCUGCAUGGAGCCGACCUUGAAAUACCACCCUUUAAUGUUUGAUGUUCUAACGUGGACCCGUAAUCCGGGUUGCGGACAGUGUCUGGUGGGUAGUUUGACUGGGGCGGUCUCCUCCUAAAGAGUAACGGAGGAGCACGAAGGUUGGCUAAUCCUGGUCGGACAUCAGGAGGUUAGUGCAAUGGCAUAAGCCAGCUUGACUGCGAGCGUGACGGCGCGAGCAGGUGCGAAAGCAGGUCAUAGUGAUCCGGUGGUUCUGAAUGGAAGGGCCAUCGCUCAACGGAUAAAAGGUACUCCGGGGAUAACAGGCUGAUACCGCCCAAGAGUUCAUAUCGACGGCGGUGUUUGGCACCUCGAUGUCGGCUCAUCACAUCCUGGGGCUGAAGUAGGUCCCAAGGGUAUGGCUGUUCGCCAUUUAAAGUGGUACGCGAGCUGGGUUUAGAACGUCGUGAGACAGUUCGGUCCCUAUCUGCCGUGGGCGCUGGAGAACUGAGGGGGGCUGCUCCUAGUACGAGAGGACCGGAGUGGACGCAUCACUGGUGUUCGGGUUGUCAUGCCAAUGGCACUGCCCGGUAGCUAAAUGCGGAAGAGAUAAGUGCUGAAAGCAUCUAAGCACGAAACUUGCCCCGAGAUGAGUUCUCCCUGAGACUUUAGGUCUCCUGAAGGAACGUUGAAGACGACGACGUUGAUAGGCCGGGUGUGUAAGCGCAGCGAUGCGUUGAGCUAACCGGUACUAAUGAACCGUGAGGCUUAACCUUACAAC